UAGCGAAAUUCCUUGUCAGGUAAGUUCUGACCCGCACGAAAGGUGUAACGAUUUGGGCGCUGUCUCGGCAGCAGACUCGGUGAAAUCUUAGUACCUGUGAAAAUGCAGGUUACCCGCAACUAGACGGAAAGACCCCAUGGAGCUUUACUGCAGCCUGAUAUUGAAUUCUGGUCAUACAUGUACAGGAUAGGUGGGAGACAAAGAGACGUGCACGCCAGUGUACGAGGAGUCGGCGUUGGGAUACCACUCUUGUGUGACCGGGGUUCUAACCUGGUAUCGAUAACAGGUACGGGGAGAGUGUCAGGUGGGCAGUUUGACUGGGGCGGUCGCCUCCCAAAGAGUAACGGAGGCGCCCAAAGGUACGCUCAGAUUGGAUGGAAACCAAUCGACGAGUGCAAUUGCAGAAGCGUGCUUGACUGUGAGACUUACAAGUCGAACAGGGACGAAAGUCGGGAAUAGUGAUCCGGCGGUGCCGAAUGGAAGGGCCGUCGCUCAACGGAUAAAAGCUACCCUGGGGAUAACAGGCUGAUCUCCCCCAAGAGUCCACAUCGACGGGGAGGUUUGGCACCUCGAUGUCGGCUCAUCGCAUCCUGGGGCUGUAGUAGGUCCCAAGGGUUGGGCUGUUCGCCCAUUAAAGCGGUACGCGAGCUGGGUUCAGAACGUCGUGAGACAGUUCGGUCCCUAUCUGUUGUGGGCGAAGGAGAUCUGCGGAGAGCUGUCCUCAGUACGAGAGGACCGGGAUGGACCUACCGCUGGUGCACCGGUUGUUCCGCCAGGGGCAUAGCCGGGUAGCUAAGUAGGGAAAGGAUAAGCGCUGAAAGCAUCUAAGCACGAAGCCUACUCCAAGAUGAGAUCUCCCAUUCGCAAGAAGUAAGACCCCUUAAAGACGAUAAGGUAGAUAGGCCAGGGAUGGAAGUGCAGUGAUGUACGGAGUUGACUGGUACUAAUCGGUCGAGGACUUAAUCAG
RNAcentral lists this ribosomal RNA (967 nucleotides) under human gut metagenome. RNAcentral describes it as "bacterial LSU rRNA". It matches the Rfam family "Bacterial large subunit ribosomal RNA", at positions 1957 to 2925 of the family's 2925-position model. The record is from RNAcentral.